RNAcentral lists this non-coding RNA (45 nucleotides) under Schistosoma mansoni. The record is from RNAcentral. Lineage: Eukaryota; Metazoa; Platyhelminthes; Trematoda; Strigeidida; Schistosomatidae.
AUCCGUCUGAAAAGUCCCAAAUAGAACGAAACGCGUGUACUGGAU